CGUGUAGGUGUGUGUUCCAGGUAAAUCCGGUUCACUUUAACACUGAGGCGUGAUGACGAGGCACUACGGUGCUGAAGCAACAAAUGCCCUGCUUCCAGGAAAAGCCUCUAAGCAUCAGGUAACAUCAAAUCGUACCCCAAACCGACACAGGUGGUCAGGUAGAGAAUACCAAGGCGCUUGAGAGAACUCGGGUGAAGGAACUAGGCAAAAUGGUGCCGUAACUUCGGGAGAAGGCACGCUGACACGUAGGUGAAGUGAUUUACUCAUGGAGCUGAAGUCAGUCGAAGAUACCAGCUGGCUGCAACUGUUUAUUAAAAACACAGCACUGUGCAAACACGAAAGUGGACGUAUACGGUGUGACGCCUGCCCGGUGCCGGAAGGUUAAUUGAUGGGGUCAGCGCAAGCGAAGCUCCUGAUCGAAGCCCCGGUAAACGGCGGCCGUAACUAUAACGGUCCUAAGGUAGCGAAAUUCCUUGUCGGGUAAGUUCCGACCUGCACGAAUGGCGUAAUGAUGGCCAGGCUGUCUCCACCCGAGACUCAGUGAAAUUGAACUCGCUGUGAAGAUGCAGUGUACCCGCGGCAAGACGGAAAGACCCCGUGAACCUUUACUAUAGCUUGACACUGAACAUUGAGCCUUGAUGUGUAGGAUAGGUGGGAGGCUUUGAAGUGUGGACGCCAGUCUGCAUGGAGCCGACCUUGAAAUACCACCCUUUAAUGUUUGAUGUUCUAACGUGGACCCGUGAUCCGGGUUGCGGACAGUGUCUGGUGGGUAGUUUGACUGGGGCGGUCUCCUCCUAAAGAGUAACGGAGGAGCACGAAGGUUGGCUAAUCCUGGUCGGACAUCAGGAGGUUAGUGCAAUGGCAUAAGCCAGCUUGACUGCGAGCGUGACGGCGCGAGCAGGUGCGAAAGCAGGUCAUAGUGAUCCGGUGGUUCUGAAUGGAAGGGCCAUCGCUCAACGGAUAAAAGGUACUCCGGGGAUAACAGGCUGAUACCGCCCAAGAGUUCAUAUCGACGGCGGUGUUUGGCACCUCGAUGUCGGCUCAUCACAUCCUGGGGCUGAAGUAGGUCCCAAGGGUAUGGCUGUUCGCCAUUUAAAGUGGUACGCGAGCUGGGUUUAGAACGUCGUGAGACAGUUCGGUCCCUAUCUGCCGUGGGCGCUGGAGAACUGAGGGGGGCUGCUCCUAGUACGAGAGGACCGGAGUGGACGCAUCACUGGUGUUCGGGUUGUCAUGCCAAUGGCACUGCCCGGUAGCUAAAUGCGGAAGAGAUAAGUGCUGAAAGCAUCUAAGCACGAAACUUGCCCCGAGAUGAGUUCUCCCUGAGACUUAGAGUCUCCUGAAGGAACGUUGAAGACGACGACGUUGAUAGGCCGGGUGUGUAAGCGCAGCGAUGCGUUGAGCUAACCGGUACUAAUGAACCGUGAGGCUUAACCUUACAACGCCGAAG
This 1447-nucleotide ribosomal RNA is filed under the name Salmonella enterica subsp. enterica serovar Anatum. RNAcentral's name for it is "partial 23S ribosomal RNA". It matches the Rfam family "Bacterial large subunit ribosomal RNA", at positions 1517 to 2925 of the family's 2925-position model. Lineage: Bacteria; Pseudomonadati; Pseudomonadota; Gammaproteobacteria; Enterobacterales; Enterobacteriaceae. The record is from RNAcentral.